RNAcentral lists this long non-coding RNA (1443 nucleotides) under Crocodylus porosus (Australian saltwater crocodile). RNAcentral describes it as "lncRNA (ENSCPRG00005011526.1)". Lineage: Eukaryota; Metazoa; Chordata; Crocodylia; Crocodylidae. The record is from RNAcentral.
AUGCAGCCGGCAGAGAUGGACCCUCUGACUGCCCCCCCUCCUUCCCGCUGGCCCUCGCUGCUCCAGUUCUUCAGAAACCUCUUUGGGCUCAGGAGGGGCGCGCGGAAGAGCCAAGAGACUGGUGCCGAGAUGGAAGAAGUGGGAAACAUCAGGGACCAAGAAGACACGAGCAGCCCAGCAAUUUCCUCCACCACCGAGUUCAAGACCAUCCUGCCGGUGGGUAACAAGCUAGAGGGCGACCCCCUGGCCAAGGAGUCUCUGGGAGAGAGGCUGGAGGAGAUUGUCAAGGAGCUGAAGGAAAUCAGUCUCGGGGGGAACCCGUCAAGCAGGGGCGACCAGUCCCCUUCGAUGCCAGGCACCAGUGGCAUGGAGAUGGGAGACUCCUCCGACUGGCCCAUGACAGACCUCUCCGAGAGCAGCGAUGGUAUCGAUGGCAGCAGGAGCGAGGAGGAGAAUCACCUUGCAGGGGAUGAAGGGGCAGCUCCUGCUCCUGAUGCUGCUGGUCCUCCGGCUCCUGUUGGAUGGAGGAGCAGGCCCUCGCUGCUCCAGCUCCUCAGGAAUCUCCCUGGGCUCAGGAAGAGCACACGGGAGGGCCAAGGAACCAGCGCUAGGGUGAAAACAGUGAAAAACAUCAAGGGCCAAGAUGCAGACAACCCAGCAGAUCCAGCAGCAGCUGAGUCUGAGCCCAUCCUGCCGUCAGGCAAACAGCUCACAGGCAACCCCCUGGCUGAUGAACCUCAGGAAAACACACUGGAGGAGUUUGCGGAGGAGAUCAAGGAAGAACUGAAGGAAAUCAGUCUUGGAGGCACCUCUCUGACCAGGGGCAUGGAGAUGGGAGACUCUCCAGGCUUUGCUAACAUCCCUCUGAGUAGGGAAGGCAGGAUGGCACAGGAGCUAGAUGGCAAAACCUCUGGCCAGGCAGUGAAGUUCAUGGAAGAAGCUUCUGGGGACACAGGAUCUUUGAGAAAGGCCAGGGUCUCCCAGGUUCUGCUGGCCAACACCGAAGGGCUUGCAUCAGCUGCAGGAGACCUGCCAACACCCAUGGAGGACUUCGGUGGUGAGGAUGAGAGGGAGCAUCUGCUCAAAGGUGAGGGUCAUGCACUCUGCUGUUGGGAGAGGCUUCUGACUACGUGUCUGCAUAAAGACUGGCUGAUAUAAUAAACCCUGAUCACCCCGAGACACAAGCACCUUUAAUGCUAUUCUCCUGCUAGGUAAUUUAACACGCUGUCAUGUGUUUAAAUACACAAGGGGAGAUUGUCUGCUGGGGUAACUCCAUUCACUCCCCUGGAGGUGCACCAGCAGAGGAGGGCUAGGGCUUGGCCCAGGGGGGCAGGAACUUGCUCACAUGCUGUACAUGAGGCGCGUGUUAUCAUUCCAUAUAGGGCAGCAUAAAGGAUGUAGGAGACGGCCUUCAAAGGAUUUGCUCCUUAAUUUGGGAUCUUU